GCAGGGAUGCCUGAGUGGUCAAAAGGGCUGGGCUUAGGACCCAGUGGCUUAGUGCCUUCGAGGGUUCGAAUCCCUCUCCCUGCA
Molecule: transfer RNA, 84 nt
Filed under: Microcaldota archaeon
Lineage: Archaea; Nanobdellati; Microcaldota
Description: Candidatus Micrarchaeota archaeon tRNA-Leu
Rfam family: tRNA
About the family: Transfer RNA (tRNA) molecules are approximately 80 nucleotides in length. Their secondary structure includes four short double-helical elements and three loops (D, anti-codon, and T loops). Further hydrogen bonds mediate the characteristic L-shaped molecular structure. tRNAs have two regions of fundamental functional importance: the anti-codon, which is responsible for specific mRNA codon recognition, and the 3' end, to which the tRNAs corresponding amino acid is attached (by aminoacyl-tRNA synthetases). tRNAs cope with the degeneracy of the genetic code in two manners: having more than one tRNA (with a specific anti-codon) for a particular amino acid; and 'wobble' base-pairing, i.e. permitting non-standard base-pairing at the 3rd anti-codon position.
Source: RNAcentral